CAUUUCCUUUGCCCGCAUAUGUGCGUGGUCUUCUGAAGCGUUGUUCUUGCUUGUAGAUACUUCCGGAGGCUCUGGGACCAUCGUUAACAACAUUGUCUUUGACGCCUCGGAACUUUUAUCCUGCGGUCACUGCACAUAGUGAAUCCUCCGGAGUCUUCUGUGGGUUAUCUUUGGAACCCUUGCAGGACAGAACCAACUUGACUUCCUUCCACAGCUCCACCCAGACAGAUUCCUGAAAAGACAAAUGAAGGACACUUUGGCGUUUUAAAAAAACUCGAGAGUAACGAUGAUUAUGGCGCCGGCGCAGCCGAAUAUUAGUGCCAGGAACACGCCACCCACGUUCGAGAGGCCCAUCUCGUUGGUGGCCGAGGCGGCUGACUCCAAGGGACAU
Long non-coding RNA from Rhipicephalus sanguineus (brown dog tick), 391 nucleotides. RefSeq lists it as uncharacterized. The record is from RefSeq and is a predicted model, not a curated record. The transcript has 3 exons. Lineage: Eukaryota; Metazoa; Arthropoda; Arachnida; Ixodida; Ixodidae.